This 850-nucleotide ribosomal RNA is filed under the name Schizomida sp. MCZ IZ-126291 778.1. Its description in RNAcentral is "eukaryotic LSU rRNA". It matches the Rfam family "Eukaryotic large subunit ribosomal RNA", at positions 42 to 650 of the family's 3401-position model. Lineage: Eukaryota; Metazoa; Arthropoda; Arachnida; Schizomida. The record is from RNAcentral.
AUAAAUAAGCGGUGGAAAAGAAACCAACAGGGAUUCCCUUAGUAGCGGCGAGCGAACAGGGAUGAGCCCAGCGCCGAAUUCCGCGUCCCAAAGGACGUUUGGAACAUGUGGCGUUUAGGAGGAAUCUCUCCGGAGGCAGACGGUGUCGCAAGUCCCCCUGAACGGGGCUGUGAUCCAGAGCGGGUGCGAGGCCCAUAGCUGGUACUGUCUCCUUCGGGUGUCACCUCCUUGGAGUCGGGUUGCUUGGGAGUGCAGCCCUAAUUGGGUGGUAAACUCCACCUAAGGCUAAAUACGUCCGUGAGACCGAUAGCAAACAAGUACCGUGAGGGAAAGUUGCAAAGAACUUUGAAGAGAGAGUUCAAGAGUACGUGAAACCGCUCAGAGGCAAACGGGUGGGCCCACGAAAGCCGAAGGCAGGGGGAUUCAGUCGAGAGGACGUUGGGGCAAGGCUGGCUGGUUUGACGGACCGUGCCAGGCCGGGUCAGCUCCCGAGACCCUUCGCCUCUCGACGCAUUUCCCUCUGCUUAGUAGGACGCCGCAACCCGUUGGUGCACGCAGCCAUAAGGGAGAGCGAUGGAAGGUAGCCAGUGAGCUCUUCUUCGGAGGAGCGAGCUGGUCCUAAGCCUGCUCUCCUGGUGCUUGUGGCCCGACGGUGGUCUCGAGUCCCUGAACGGGAUGUCGCCGAGCCCUUCUAGACCGAGCAGGAAGAAAUGGCAGGCUGCUUUCCGUGACCAAAAAACGGUUGCUCCACGCGUGCAGUGGACAACCUUCGGAAGCGGCUGUUGGUGCAUUUUCUCCUGCGCUGGGCACAGGCAGUUGGCGGCGAGUAGGUCGGUCACCCACCCGACCC